Molecule: unclassified non-coding RNA, 893 nt
Filed under: Hevea brasiliensis (rubber tree)
Lineage: Eukaryota; Viridiplantae; Streptophyta; Magnoliopsida; Malpighiales; Euphorbiaceae
Source: RNAcentral
AAACCUUUUAGAAGCCAAUCUACUAUUUCUUCAACUCCAUCUGUUUCCAAUUAAUCAAAUCAAUAUGCCAAACCUGAUCAGUCCUAUCAAUACCCUUUGAGACCACCCAAUUCUUACAAAACAAAUCGUGCAACUGCUAAAACCCAAGUUAUCAGCAACUCUUCCAAUCCACCACUUAUCACUAGUUUAUCUACAGCAUCUAAACCAGCAAAUUCUUCUUUAAAACCUAUCAAGAAUCAAUAUAAGCCUUGUUAUAGAUGUGGGGAAAAUUAUUUUCUAGGGCAUCAAUGCAAGCAAAAAUCAUUAAACGCAAUAUAUGCUGAAGGGAAGGAAGAUGAUGGGUGUGAAGAGAAGUGGUUUGAAGCAGGAAUGAAGCUAAAGGAGGGAGGGGAUUUGGGAGAUGAUACUUUGUCAGUGCAUGCAUUAGACAAUAAUCAUGGAAUUGAUACCAUAAGGAUGUUAGGGAUACAUAAGAAUAGGCAACUGGUGAUAUUAAUUGAUAGUGGCAGUACUACUAGUUUCCUUGAUAAAAGAAUUGCUUGAGAGUUGAAAUUUGAAUAGGUGAAUACACCAUAUAUUGCUAUUACAUAGCUAAUGGGAGGAAUUUAGGGUGUGAUUUAAAAUGUUAGCAAGUGGAAAAUGGAGAAUUGUGAGUUUAAUUUUGACUUGAAGAUUUUAGAUUUGGGUGGAUUUGACAUGAUAUUAGGAGUUGAUUGGCUAAAAAAGCAUAAUCUAGUACUAUCUGAUCUUGAGGUAUGUGCAAUUACUCUUACCAUGGAAGGGAAAUCAUGGGUUUUACAUAGAAUUUGGGAAGGUAUGUUGCAAUCUGGCUUGUGGCAUUCUGCGAACAUAUUUGAUAAAGGUGGUGAGGAUUUUCAAACUCCUUUAUUUUG